RNAcentral lists this long non-coding RNA (379 nucleotides) under Vitis vinifera (wine grape). RNAcentral's name for it is "long non-coding RNA (VVIN_LNC006801)". Lineage: Eukaryota; Viridiplantae; Streptophyta; Magnoliopsida; Vitales; Vitaceae. The record is from RNAcentral.
AAGCAAAGCUAUGUAUAUUACUUCCUUCAAAACUAUACAAAAAGUUGUCUCUGAGAACAAGCUCCCGAGAUGUCUCUAUAAAGAAAAUUACAAACUAUAUAUAUGAGGUUAUUCACCCUUUGUUCUUACUUAUUAACUAAGGAAUCCUAUGAUUGGUAGAUUACAAGGAGAGAAUGGGGAUUUAAACAACAAAUUUCUGAAGAAAAAUUCUAAAAGAGUUGGUCGCAAAUAUCUAGAAGCACUCAGGUGGAUUUUGUAGGCAUGCAAGAUGGGCUACGAAAUUUCGCAAGCUGAAGGUCUCCAUUUCGCAGCCAAAGGCUAAUUUCGCAGCUAGCACCUUGUGAUUUCACAGCCAAAGGCUGAUUUUGCAACUGUGAAA